This 4275-nucleotide ribosomal RNA is filed under the name Triticum aestivum (bread wheat). RNAcentral describes it as "partial small subunit ribosomal RNA". Lineage: Eukaryota; Viridiplantae; Streptophyta; Magnoliopsida; Poales; Poaceae. The record is from RNAcentral.
AUGGCCGGCCCGCGGUCGUCGCCGUCACCGCCGCCGCCGCAGGCGCGCUCCGCCGACGGAGGCGCCCACCUGUCCCUGUUCCUCGACACCGACCUCGGCACGCUCCUCGCCCUGAACGUCGCCGCGGACUCCACCAUCCGCCGCCUCAAGUCGCAAGUGGCCGUGGAGCACGCCGCCGCCUUCCCCGACCUCGGCCCCGUCGCCGUCAAGUCCUUUCAGGUGCUACGCAAGGGUGCAAUGUACCACCUCUCUGAUUCGAUGGCAUUGAGGAGUGCAUUUUCCAAAGUCAAAGCUGGGUGCUUUCUGCAUGUCAAGAUGGUAGCAGUUGCGACGGACUCACACUACUGCAGAGACGAGGAUAGAGGGAGAUCAAGUAGAGGUUGUCUUGGAGUUGAUAUGGACAAACGUCUUAUGGAGUUGCCUGCAACAAUAUCAGGCGGUGUAAAUCCUCAAAUGCUGGAAGGUAGUGAGGAGGCUGCAGCAUUGCUUAAUGUUCAUGCACAUGAUGCAGUGCCAAAUGAUGUGCAGCUGUCAUCCUCGUCACAUCCGAAUACGGUUACAAAGAAGGAUGCAGCAGUAAGCCUGGCUACUGAUGUACAAACAAAUUCUGUGGCAAAUGUCAGUAGAUUUUCAAAUCAAAGCAAUGUGGCCCUGGUUGGAGAAGAGUUACUCGCAAGAAAGGAAAACCUUCUGCAUAGUGUCGAAGACCAUGAUCUUGGUGUUGUUUCUGGUGACAAGCAAGUGGGGACAAGGGAGGGAACGGUGGGAGAGCUUCAUGCACUGGAUGAUCCCUCUCAGGAAAAGGAGCGCAAAAGGGCUAGAAGGACUGAUUCUGUUAACAUGUCAGCUGUAGAUCCUGUUAGAGAAACUAAUGAUUACAAAACCAGGGAUGUGAAUAGCUUGGAUAAGCCUUCAUUGGAAACAAACACUAAUUCUCUUGGGGUAAUUCCAAGCAAUUCUUUUCAGCAAGAAUCACAUGGAAAUGCACAAGAGGAUUCAAUCCAGCCUGAAAAUCCAAUCAUUCCUGGAAAGAAUAAGAAAAGGAAAAAACAUCAGUCAGUCGCUCCCAAAGAUGCCCAAGAAAUAACAAAACCAUCAGCUGGAACAGUGGAGGUACCAAAAGCGUUAGAUGGAGGCCUGCUUCAUGAAAACCAAGGGCAACAAGGUGAUGGUGUAGAUAAUGUUGAAAUGACUAGCAGAGACAAAGCAAUGGUCAGACCAUCUGACAUGCAUCUUCCAUCAUCACAACUCAAUAGUGGAAGCCAGUUGGGUACUGAUGCUCAGGCAACUACUGAUCUAGUUGCUGACAAAAGUAACAUUGGUAUUGUACAUGAAGGAUAUGGAAAUCCGGCAGUUGGAGAGACCAGUAAUUCCACUUCCAAAGUUGUAGCUGGUGAAGAAACAAUUGCAGAAGGAAUCAAUGAUGAAUAUCAUGAUGAAAGAGGAGUUGAGGUAAGCAACAUGGAGAAAGGAAGUAAAAGUGAGAAUGUCCUGGAUAUGGCAGAUACAGCCGGUAAUAUUUCUCAUGAGAAGAAUUGCCAGGAAUCAAAUAAGGUUAGUUCUGUUGGCCUAUCUUCCAUGGAUACUGCUGAAGCAAAAGACCAGUCUGGGUAUAGCGAGAAAGCAGCCAAAUCAGAUAUAGUGUCUACUCAGGGGGACAUCUUAAAUGACCCUUAUAAGUGGCACAUCACAAGUAAUGUGCAGCGAGGGGAUUGUAAUGUCAUAGAACAUUCAGAUGGUGAUGGAAAGCUGAAGAAGAAGAAAAGGCGCCACUCGGAGUCUUCAAAGGAUGGUCCUACUACUCAAGGUGUGACAAAACCAUCUGGAUCCAUUGCAAAUGCUCAGGUGGAGACUGUAAAUGAACCAAGCAAGGUGAAUCAAGGGGAUUCUACUGUAACAGAAAAUCCAACUGGUGAUGGGAAGCGUAAAAAGAAGAGAAAACUCCGCUUGGAGUCUUCAAAGGAUGAUCCUUUGACAAAAUCAUCUGGACCCACUACAGGUGGAAGCUCGACACAGCAUGCAAGUGACGAUCCCCUAAAUGCAGAGCAAACAACACAAGGCACUAUAGGAGAAGCAACGGGUAGUGCUUGCAGGAAGCUUGAUGGAACCGCGGAUGUAGCAGCAACCAAUGUGAUUAAUGAGGUAUUGGCAGAUUUAGGAUGCACAGACAACUUAAGUGGAGAUCCAGUAAAGGAACACACUGAAGGUGUUGUUAGUGCAGCCUUACCUCUGAAAUAUCCAGCAGAUAAUCAGUCUGAUGAUCUUAAUGAUGUUUUGACUGAGAAUACAGUAGUGCCAGCUGAUGGCAGAACCAAAUCCAGUAAGCGUCAGAGAAAGAAGACUUCAUUAAAGCAUGUGUCUACCGAUAGCAGUAAAGAUAUUCAGUCUUUGGGUGUGCAAGUCAGACAGGUUCCCACAGAGGACUUGGAAGGAGGAAAUGACACCAAAGAGGAAUUGCUUCUGGAAGGUUCUUCAGUUGACGCUCCUGCAAGUACUGGUCAAGUAUUACGGCAGAAAAGCAGAAAGUCUUUGAAGACUCAGACUCCUACAAUACAGGAAAUAAAUCAUCCUACAUAUGGACAAGAUAAUCAGUUCAUAAAGGAUGACCAGGAAAAAUAUGUAACUGAUGGUGGGCCUCGUAAUGACAAAAAUAUAGUAGGAGCUCCAACAGAAUCAUCAGUACUUCAUAAAGAUGGCACAAUUAUCAUGCAUGAUAAGCCUAAUGCUCGAAAGGGAAGGAAGAAAUCUUCCAAGACUGAACUUCAGAGUCAGGAUACUGCUUUGGAACAAGGUUCUGUUGCAGAUUUGAUGAACUCCAGGGCUCAGGAGGGAGCAGCUAUUCCUAAAGGUUCUGCUGGUGCUGUUGAACCAAAUGAUUCUGCAGCGAUUCGUUCUGAAAAUGGCAAAAUUAAUUUCUUGGACCAUUUUAGCCCCAGUGUGAUGAAUGGCCCAUCUGUUUCUGCAGAAAACAAUGAUGAAACUACUAUAAGGGAAGUUAAGGGAAAAAAGAAAAGCAAAAGAAAACCAGAUAUGCAGUCUCAACAUGCUGGUAUUAUUGAACCAAAUGAUCUGCCAGAAUCCCAUCUUCAUACAGAUAAAACUAGUGUAGCUGAUCAUUUUGAUACUGGCAAUGUGGGUGUGCCAUCUGUUUCAGCAGAAAACACGAACAGAGAAGAUGGUAAUGUGGAAAAGGCCAAGGAGAAAAAGAAGAGCAAAAGAAAGCAGGAUUUGGUCAAACCCGAGUCUGAAAACCCUAUUGGUAAUAAUGAAGACACUGAUAAUUGUUCACAAAAUUUGCUGCAUUCUGUUGUGCAGAAGGGAAGAAUAGAACAGGGCAAUGCAAAAGAGAACAGUGAUAAAAUCACCAAGGAUAAUAGUAUGCCGCAACAGGAGACUGAAGCAGAAAACAUUAACAGAGAAGAUGGUAAUGUGAGGAAAACCAAGGAGAAAAAGAAGAGCAAAAGAAAACAGGAUUUGGUCAAACCCGAGUGUCAAAAUCCUGAUGGUGGUAAUCAAGAUACUGACACUUCUGCACCGCAGAAAGGAAGAAUGGAUCAGGGCAAUGCAAAAGAGAAGAAGGAACAGGAAAAAGAAGAUGCCACACGUGAUAGCACUUUUGAAAAGAAGCCCCGCCAAAGCAAGGUUGGUGCUGACAAUCAGACUGAUUUGCCCACUGAGAAGGACCAUGCACGCAUGGGCAAAGAACAAAUGAACUCUACUUCUCAGACAAAGCAUCAUGGUAAGAAUAGAAAACAUGACGGGUCUAUUGAUGGGAGGGAAAAUGCAAAUCCUAAGGUUGUAAGCAAUGUUGUUCAGAGCAGUCCCAUCAGCCCACAAGCAUCAAAUGAAAGCACUUAUGGCACACCAGCUGUUAACCGAUUUAGAGUAGCAGUUCGGAAAGUUCCAAGAAAAAAAUUUGAACAGCUCAAUGACAAAUCCAAGAAGGAUACUAGUAAGAGAGGCGCUGGCGCAAUUUUCAGUGACACCAUAAGUGAAGACUCUGAUGAACUAUUGAACACCAUGGGUGAAAAGGUUGGCAAGGAAAACUCAUCAGAUGAUUCAUCCACAUCUGCUGACUCAGGAAUUUCAUCCACGGCCUGGGAGGGAAGCGACGUACCUGAUGAUGAAGGCAUUGCAUCGCUGUCACAGAGGAGUGACAUCAACUCCGUCCUCCGAGGCUCCAGUAGCUACAAGAAGGCGAGGCUGAAACCAACCGAGCUGCUGGAGGACACCGAGGUGCCUGAUAGCCAGCCUCCAGAUAGUCUUUGGGGCUGA